CUUGGCUCAGGAUGAACGCUAGCUACAGGCUUAACACAUGCAAGUCGAGGGGCAGCAGGACGAUAGCUUGCUAUUGUCGCUGGCGACCGGCGCACGGGUGAGUAACGCGUAUCCAACCUUCCCCUUAGUAGAGGAUAGCCCGGCGAAAGUCGGAUUAAUACUCUAUGUUGUAUUUUUGAGGACAUCUGACGAAUACCAAAGAUUCAUCGCUAAGGGAUGGGGAUGCGUCUGAUUAGCUUGUUGGCGGGGUAACGGCCCACCAAGGCGACGAUCAGUAGGGGUUCUGAGAGGAAGGUCCCCCACAUUGGUACUGAGACACGGACCAAACUCCUACGGGAGGCAGCAGUGAGGAAUAUUGGUCAAUGGGCGAGAGCCUGAACCAGCCAAGUAGCGUGCAGGAAGACUGCCCUAUGGGUUGUAAACUGCUUUUAUCAGGGAAUAAAGUGCGGCACGUGUGCUGUUUUGUAUGUACCUGAUGAAUAAGGACCGGCUAAUUCCGUGCCAGCAGCUGC
Molecule: ribosomal RNA, 512 nt
Filed under: uncultured bacterium
Lineage: Bacteria
Description: bacterial SSU rRNA
Rfam family: Bacterial small subunit ribosomal RNA
Source: RNAcentral